UGGGGAAUAUUGCACAAUGGGCGCAAGCCUGAUGCAGCCAUGCCGCGUGUAUGAAGAAGGCCUUCGGGUUGUAAAGUACUUUCAGCGGGGAGGAAGGGAGUAAAGUUAAUACCUUUGCUCAUUGACGUUACCCGCAGAAGAAGCACCGGCUAACUCCGUGCCAGCAGCCGCGGUAAUACGGAGGGUGCAAGCGUUAAUCGGAAUUACUGGGCGUAAAGCGCACGCAGGCGGUUUGUUAAGUCAGAUGUGAAAUCCCCGGGCUCAACCUGGGAACUGCAUCUGAUACUGGCAAGCUUGAGUCUCGUAGAGGGGGGUAGAAUUCCAGAUGUAGCGGUGAAAUGCGUAGAGAUCUGGAGGAAUACCGGUGGCGAAGGCGGCCCCCUGGACGAAGACUGACGCUCAGGUGCGAAAGCGUGGGGAGCAAACAGG
RNAcentral lists this ribosomal RNA (429 nucleotides) under Chloroflexota bacterium. Its description in RNAcentral is "Chloroflexi bacterium partial 16S ribosomal RNA". It matches the Rfam family "Bacterial small subunit ribosomal RNA", at positions 355 to 776 of the family's 1533-position model. Lineage: Bacteria; Bacillati; Chloroflexota. The record is from RNAcentral. RNAcentral also lists the same sequence under 1 other name.